This 288-nucleotide RNase P RNA is filed under the name Nitrososphaerota archaeon. Its description in RNAcentral is "Thaumarchaeota archaeon RNase P RNA component". It matches the Rfam family "Archaeal RNase P". From Rfam's summary of the family: Ribonuclease P (RNase P) is a ubiquitous endoribonuclease, found in archaea, bacteria and eukarya as well as chloroplasts and mitochondria. Its best characterised activity is the generation of mature 5'-ends of tRNAs by cleaving the 5'-leader elements of precursor-tRNAs. Cellular RNase Ps are ribonucleoproteins. Lineage: Archaea; Thermoproteati; Nitrososphaerota. The record is from RNAcentral.
GCGAGCCAGUGGACGGGCCACGGGGAUCUCCUGGGGAAGUUCCUCCCUCGCAGCAGGACGCACGGCGUCAAGAGACGCGGCCCGAGAGGGUCGGCUCCAGAACAGAAACGAGACCCGGCCCAUCAAGGGCGAUGAUAGGGCGACCUUGAGGUCGGUGGGGACCGGGAUGAAACGGCUGACCCGUGCGGAGCAAGGCCAAACGUGGUCGAUGAAACGCCUGCAGGAGACCAGGGUAGGCCGCUGAGCUGAAUCCCGUCUAGAACAGAAGGAGGACUACGGCUGGGACGC